GAUGAACGCUGGCGGCGUGCCUAAUACAUGCAAGUCGUGCGAGAUCUUCGGAUCUAGCGGCGAACGGGUGAGUAACACGUGGGCAACCUGCCCCUAAGACUGGGAUAACUCCGAGAAAUCGGAGCUAAUACCGGAUAACCUUUUUCCUCGCAUGAGGAAAAAGUAAAAGGCUUCGGCCACUUAGGGAUGGGCCCGCGGCGCAUUAGCUAGUUGGUGAGGUAACGGCUCACCAAGGCGACGAUGCGUAGCCGACCUGAGAGGGUGAUCGGCCACACUGGGACUGAGACACGGCCCAGACUCCUACGGGAGGCAGCAGUAGGGAAUUUUCCGCAAUGGGCGAAAGCCUGACGGAGCAACGCCGCGUGAGUGAAGACGGCCUUCGGGUUGUAAAACUCUGUUCUUGGGGAAGAAGAAAGUGACGGUACCCAAGGAGAAAGCCCCGGCUAACUAC
This 451-nucleotide ribosomal RNA is filed under the name uncultured Bacillota bacterium. RNAcentral describes it as "bacterial SSU rRNA". It matches the Rfam family "Bacterial small subunit ribosomal RNA", at positions 28 to 504 of the family's 1533-position model. Lineage: Bacteria; Bacillati; Bacillota. The record is from RNAcentral.